This is a long non-coding RNA of Acyrthosiphon pisum (pea aphid), 1168 nucleotides long. RefSeq lists it as uncharacterized. NCBI's taxonomy places the organism in Eukaryota, Metazoa, Arthropoda, Insecta, Hemiptera, Aphididae. The record is from RefSeq and is a predicted model, not a curated record. The transcript has 2 exons.
AUUAGUGCCCUCUAAUGGCUCGGACAAUGACCCUAAUUUUUUUUUACACUCAUCUACAUACACUCUAAUUAUGUUGCAUAAUAAUUGUGCUAUCGAUAUCGAUAAGAAUAAAACUAAUAGGAAUAAUAUCUCACAAUAUUUUACAGCACAGUGCACAUCAAAAAUCUAAACAUUACUAAACACAGUAAUAAACAGCCAACAUAGCGGUUAGAUUAUUGUGGGGGGAGGGGCAAUUUACGAUCUUUCAUUUUAAAGUGACUAAUAUUGUCUUAUAAUGAAGGUACUUAUGGGUUUAUCUUUGAAGGUGCUGUGCAUCCACGAGCCGGUGAGAGUCCGCUGGUCUUGAUAUUAAACAAUGUCAUAGAUGUAUUAAUAUACUAUUAUUAACCCAUUAUAAUGUCUGUAGUUGUUGUCGUACACACAUUUUUUUUUUGUUAUUUGUUAGAUGAAUAAAAUUGGCGUAGUGGUACGCUCAAAUAUUUUUAAUUGUAUUACAAGUAAAUCACAGCAAGUCGGUUCAUGCAACUUUUACCCUUAGACACGGUCAAUGCCCAAAUGUUUCAAUUAAUAACAUACCUAUCCCACCACUCAAUGCUGUUAAAUAUUUAGGAUUAAUCCUUGAACAAAAAUUAACGUGGAACAAACAUAUAAGAGCUAAAAGAUUGAUCCUUAACGCUCGAUGUAGAUCGCUAAAAACAAUAUUAUCAAAAAAUAAAUUUACUAGCUUAAAAACAAAACUACUUGUAUAUAAAACUCUCCUAAAGCCAAUAUGGACAUACGGGUUACAACUCUGGGGAUCGGCCAAAAAAUCAAAUAUAAACAAAAUUCAAGUCUUUCAGAACAUUACCCUUAGAAAAAUCACUAACGUUCCCUUCUACGUCUCUAAUUUAACUCUCCACCAAGAUCUAGACUUGAAAAUCACCCUAACCCACUAAUAAAAGAGCUACAUACCUUCUCACUCCCUGGAAAUCCACAACGUAGACUUAAAAGGAAAUGGUGUCGUGACCAUUUAAAUGAAAUAUCCCUUAAUUACCCUAAAUAUAACGUCAAGUAAGUAAGUGCCACUAAUGGGUGGCUUCUUCUUCAAGCAAUCCAUGUUUUUUUUUAAACUCUUAUCUUAUACGCUUAUUGUGCAAAAUGUAUAGAUUGUGUAUGUGCAUUUGUAAAA